UACGUAGGGUGCAAGCGUUGUCCGGAAUUAUUGGGCGUAAAGAGCUCGUAGGCGGUCUGUCGCGUCUGCUGUGAAAACUCGGGGCUUAACCCCGGGCCUGCAGUGGGUACGGGCAGGCUAGAGUGCGGUAGGGGAGACUGGAAUUCCUGGUGUAGCGGUGAAAUGCGCAGAUAUCGGGAGGAACACCAAUGGCGAAGGCAGCUCGCUGGGACGGUACUGACGCUGAGACGCGAAAGCGUGGGGAGCAAACAGG
This 253-nucleotide ribosomal RNA is filed under the name uncultured bacterium. RNAcentral describes it as "partial 16S ribosomal RNA". It matches the Rfam family "Bacterial small subunit ribosomal RNA", at positions 524 to 776 of the family's 1533-position model. The record is from RNAcentral.